CAAAGGAGAAAAUAUGGUAAUGUGCACAUAAAUUGAAUUGGGUCUCUAGGUCUACCCUUUCUGAUAUCAUUAGGCUUUGAUUUGGGGGCAUGGAUCCGCAGCACCGCA
Rhododendron vialii is the source of this 108-nucleotide small nucleolar RNA. RefSeq annotates it as small nucleolar RNA snoR100. The transcript has a single exon. NCBI's taxonomy places the organism in Eukaryota, Viridiplantae, Streptophyta, Magnoliopsida, Ericales, Ericaceae. The record is from RefSeq and is a predicted model, not a curated record.